Small nucleolar RNA from Mesocricetus auratus (golden hamster), 143 nucleotides. The record is from Ensembl. NCBI's taxonomy places the organism in Eukaryota, Metazoa, Chordata, Mammalia, Rodentia, Cricetidae.
CACCCUGGCAAUGGGCAAAGAGACAACUUCUUGGGGAUGUUGUCCUUAUAUCAGUCAGGGGCAGGGCAGAUAGUAGCCCUUUGCUCAUACUAGCUUGAUGUCUGGCUUUGUGGUCAAAGCUGUUUCAUGCCUAGGGCACAUUA